AUUGAACGCUGGCGGCAGGCCUAACACAUGCAAGUCGAGCGGAUGAAGGGAGCUUGCUCCUGGAUUCAGCGGCGGACGGGUGAGUAAUGCCUAGGAAUCUUCCUGGUAGUGGGGGAUAACGUCCGUAAACGGGCGCUAAUACCGCAUACGUCCUGAGGGAGAAAGUUGGGGAUCUUCGGACCUCACUCUAUCAGAUUAGCCUAGGUCGGAUUAGCUAGUUGGUGGGGUAAAGGCCUACCAAGGCGACGAUCCGUAACUGGUCUGAGAGGAUGAUCAGUCACACUGGAACUGAGACACGGUCCAGACUCCUACGGGAGGCAGCAGUGGGGAAUAUUGGACAAUGGGCGAAAGCCUGAUCCAGCCAUGCCGCGUGUGUGAAGAAGGUCUUCGGAUUGUAAAGCACUUUAAGUUGGGAGGAAGGGCAGUAAGUUAAUACCUUGCUGUUUUGACGUUACCAACAGAAUAAGCACCGGCUAACUUCGUG
This 484-nucleotide ribosomal RNA is filed under the name uncultured bacterium. RNAcentral's name for it is "partial 16S ribosomal RNA". It matches the Rfam family "Bacterial small subunit ribosomal RNA", at positions 30 to 507 of the family's 1533-position model. The record is from RNAcentral.